Molecule: ribosomal RNA, 253 nt
Filed under: uncultured bacterium
Lineage: Bacteria
Description: partial 16S ribosomal RNA
Rfam family: Bacterial small subunit ribosomal RNA
Source: RNAcentral
UACAGAGGUCCCGAGCGUUGUUCGGAUUCAUUGGGCGUAAAGGGUGCGUAGGCGGUUUGGUAAGUCUGAUGUGAAAUCUAUGGGCUCAACUCAUAGUCUGCAUCGGAAACUGCCGGGCUUGAGUGUGGGAGAGGUGAGUGGAAUUCCUGGUGUAGCGGUGAAAUGCGCAGAUAUCAGGAAGAACACCCGUGGCUAAGGCGGCUCUCUAGUACGUGACUGACGCUGAGACGCGAAAGCGUGGGGAGCGAACAGG